GUUAGGGGAGGGGGUCGUGGGGCCCCCCCACACACACACUUGGGACUGGUGCAGAAGCCUGGCCAGUCUCAGCUGGGGGCGGAGACAGUGUGAAGGGCUUGGCUGGGUCCCUCCAGACAAGUGCGUCUUGAGGGAGCCUGGCUGGGGCAGGCCCUGGCCUGGCUGAUCGUGCCAUUCCCAAGGGGCCAGAGCGAUUCCUGGCCCUGGGACUCAGCCCGGCAGACACAGUUGCUUCCCAGCAAGGCUGGUGCAAACAGAUAGACUAGGUGCAGUUGGGACGCUGAGCUUCAUGUUUAUGCUGGUGCUCAAGAGUUGGAUGUCCUCUGUCAAGGUGAAGUCAGUGUUCCGGGCCCAUCCCUAGACUGCCGGAGUCCAGUGGAGAUGAAUGAGCCUCCUCAUGAUGGGUCCCCUCAAUGCACAUUUUGGGGGAAGGAGGGGAAUACUUUCUGCGCGAAGACAACUGGGGGAGAACACUGAACCACAAAGGCGCAAUUCCAGCUGAACACAAGGAAUCAUGUUUCAAUUGCAAUCUACUUGCGGCCAUGUGCUAAGAGCUGUGCGCUACUUCCCAGUCUCAGACAUUGGCAAGUAUAAUAGAUAUAUGACCUCCCUUUUGACAUUCUUUGCAGUAAUGUAUAAGUAUAUUCUAUGCCACUCUAAUGGACUACAACGUACUACAGGUCCUGUACGUAGAGUAAUGAUAGGUCUCAAAUAUUUCCAGGCAGAUGCAUGUUAAAAUUUUCAUUGAUGUGAUUACUUAUUUAUAAUGAAAUUGCAUUUUUAUGGAGGUGUAUAAUUACAGUUUGCAGCAAAAAUUUCCAGAUACACAGUGGUUACCCUUUAAAACUUGCCAAUUUCCAUAAACAUCUAGGUCUCAUAUUUCUAAAACUCCAUGUAGAAAAAAGAUCAGUCAUCAGUUACAUAUACACAACACCCAAUCCAUGCAUGCAAGCUGGCGUUGUGUAUGUGUGAAGAGGCAUGGACGUGCAAAUCGCUAGGGUUUCCAAUCAUGUCAUUUCACACACCUGAGUCUGAAAAAUUCCUGCCUAAAUAACAUUCCCUAUUUGGGGUAUUUUCAGCAUAAAUACAGGAAAAUUCAGUUCAUGCUGCAAUUCCUUGGGUAAUCAUAUCUAUUUGUCUAAGGCAAAACUUGCAAGUUUUGAGGGUGAUCACGGUAUUGCUCAAUUUAUUUAUAACUAAUUUUUUUACCCUUGAAUACAUUUUUCAAGACCAAUAUUGCAGUGGUCAACCUUAGUCUGUUGUAUCUAAAAAUCAACAUAGCAGUAUACAGCAAUUUUUAGCUACUAAUAAAACUCCCCAAACUUCAUGAAAGUCAGUCGUGGUGCUUCCUUUUACCCCAAGAAAAUCUGUCCUUGUCCUCAGCAGUGUAGGUCUUCCUCUCAAAAAGGCAUGCAUAUUUUAAUAGUUCUAUGCCUGUGGCACAGUGUUUCAAUAUGGUCAUGUAAUCAGUUGUUAAGACAUCACUUCUCAUUAUGGAAUGCAAACUGUGACUAUCCUACAUUUUGGCAGCCAGUCCUCCCCUUUGGAACUGCUUCAAGCUCAUUAGUGGUCAUCAUAUUAUA
Trachemys scripta elegans is the source of this 1583-nucleotide long non-coding RNA. RefSeq lists it as uncharacterized. The transcript has 5 exons. NCBI's taxonomy places the organism in Eukaryota, Metazoa, Chordata, Testudines, Emydidae. The record is from RefSeq and is a predicted model, not a curated record.